UGCGAACGGGUGAGUAACGCGUAGGUAACCUGCCUGGUAGCGGGGGAUAACUAUUGGAAACGAUAGCUAAUACCGCAUAAGAGUAGAUGUUGCAUGACAUUUGCUUAAAAGGUGCAAUUGCAUCACUACCAGAUGGACCUGCGUUGUAUUAGCUAGUUGGUGAGGUAACGGCUCACCAAGGCAACGAUACAUAGCCGACCUGAGAGGGUGAUCGGCCACACUGGGACUGAGACACGGCCCAGACUCCUACGGGAGGCAGCAGUAGGGAAUCUUCGGCAAUGGACGGAAGUCUGACCGAGCAACGCCGCGUGAGUGAAGAAGGUUUUCGGAUCGUAAAGCUCUGUUGUAAGAGAAGAACGAGUGUGAGAGUGGAAAGUUCACACUGUGACGGUAUCUUACCAGAAAGGGACGGCUAACUACGUGCCAGCAGCCGCGGUAAUACGUAGGUCCCGAGCGUUGUCCGGAUUUAUUGGGCGUAAAGCGAGCGCAGGCGGUUAGAUAAGUCUGAAGUUAAAGGCUGUGGCUUAACCAUAGUACGCUUUGGAAACUGUUUAACUUGAGUGCAAGAGGGGAGAGUGGAAUUCCAUGUGUAGCGGUGAAAUGCGUAGAUAUAUGGAGGAACACCCGGUGGCGAAAGCGGCUCUUUGGCUUGUAACUGACGCUGAGGCUCGAAAGCGUGGGGAGCAAACAAGAUUAGAUACCCUGGUAGUUCACGCCGUAAACGAUGAGUGCUAGGUGUUAGACCCUUUUCGGGGUUUAGUGCCGCAGCUAACGCAUUAAGCACUCCGCCUGGGGAGUACGACCGCAAGGUUGAAACUCAAAGGAAUUGACGGGGGGCCGCACCAACGGUGGAGCAUGUGGUUUAAUUUGAAGCAACGCGAAGAACCUUACCCGGUCUUGACAUUCCUUUGACCGCUUUAGAGAUAGAGCUUUCCUUUGGGACAGAGGUGACAGGUGGUGCAUGGUUGUUGUCAGCUCGUGUUGUGAGAUGUUGGGUUAAGUUCCGCAACGAGCGCAACCCCUAUUGUUAGUUGCCCUCCUUCAAUUGGGCCCUUUAGCGAGACUGCCGGUAAUAAACCGGAGGAAGGGGGGGAUGGCGUCAAAUCAUCCUGCCCCUUUUGACCUGGGGUACCCACGUGGUUCAAUGGGUGGUACAACGAGUUGCAAGCCGGGGACGGCCAACUAAUUUUUUAAAACCCGUUUCAGUUUGGAUUGUAGGGUGCAACUUGCCUACCAGAAGUUGGAAUC
Molecule: ribosomal RNA, 1248 nt
Filed under: Streptococcus sp. XJ149-N3-2
Lineage: Bacteria; Bacillati; Bacillota; Bacilli; Lactobacillales; Streptococcaceae
Description: bacterial SSU rRNA
Rfam family: Bacterial small subunit ribosomal RNA
Source: RNAcentral